GCGGGGGGGGGAGUCUUCUCCAAGUAACGGUAAAAAUAUUCUCCAACGACAAAAACAUCUGAGAACGAAUUCUUCUCUCAGGGGCUGAAAGGAAAAGCAGAGCUUCACCUCCUUUCCCAGGGAGCCCAGCAGCCAUCGCUGACCGCCUCCCUGGGGCCCUCUCCAACUCUGAAGGGCAGGAAGCCGGCCCUCCUGGAAGCAGAGCCAGGCUGCAGGCCGAGCUUCCCUUGCACAUUUCCUGGAGGGCCGCCCAGCAACCAAAUCACCACCAAAUAUGGGCAGAAAAAUGCAUGAAUCAGAGGAUAAAAAAGCCAAGGAGAGCUGCCCUGAGGAAUAGUUUCCACUCAGCACUGUGUGACCCUGGGGGCACCAGCAGAAGCCCUGCAAAGGACAGAGGGGCUGGGGGCUAGAGGCUGGGACCUAGGGCGGGACUCUGUCCUGCCUCCAAGCCCAGAGGCCUGCACAGGAAGGACCAUGUGCAGCAGGGACGGUCUGAUAGUAGCCCUCAGAGGUCCUCAGAGGCCCCUUCAGCCCUGCAGGGCUGGCAGAGGACACUGCAGAGCUGCUGGCUGCAACCCCUGGGGAGAAGAGGUGAACAGAAUUUUCUGCGGGGGCGUUAAGAACAGGCGGCCUUCUCCUCCCAGCCCCACAUUCCAGGGGCUGGGCCCAAAUCCCAAAGCCUCCCAGACUCCGGAGGGUUCCCUGGGCCAAGGGAAAAUAGGACCCGGGGGAAGGGGCUUCACAUUGAAGUCACAGGAUUCCUGGCAAGAGCAAUUUCAAACCGGGAUCUGGACUCGUUCCCCCGUCCCAACCCCCUGAGAAGUCCUAGAAGCUACAGCUAUUUAGGCCUCCAUUGGGGGCAUUAGGUAGGGAUGGGGUAGGUUCCUGCUUUUCACCCACUGCUGUCGGGACUGCAUGCUUCCCGCCAAGCAGGCUGUCUGCAUAUGGCAAGGGCAUUUCUGAACAACCGGAAAGAGAUCGACAUAUGCCAUCUGCAUGGCAUGUGGCGAGAUGGUGGCCAAGUCACCUUAGGGUCUACGAGGGGCGCAGAACUCUGACCCCCUGGCUGGCUAAUCACACAAACAAUUCAAAUUCCAAAAUGGACGAAUGGAAUAGGAGCUUCAGGAAGUUUUCCGAAGCCCGUGGGAUCACCAUCCUUCUGGCAUUCCUCUGUGUGCCUUACCUACCCAGGGGCCCAGAGGGAAGGAAGGGCUCCAGGGGUCUGAGAUGCAGGCGGAUGACUUCUGCUGUGUGAGCACAUGGGUGGUCCCUCUGGCACAUGGCCCGAUACUCCUUCUACCUCGAGCGACUGCUUGUGGUUAGAGGGUUCAGGUGGCCACCACCACGGACACCCUAGGGCAUCUCGGGGUCAGGCCGACUUCCUGUCCCUUCUCAGCCUCACUUACUCCAACCUCCCAGAACAAAGCUGGAAAGCAAUCUCCCUAUCGGGCUCCCCACCCUUUUCUCCCUCCCAGUCAGGAAAAUGAGUGUUUCCUGAGAAAGUACAAACAUCAAGUUCUUUGCGCAGGGGCCUCGAGUGCCCUGCUCACAGCCCUGCAAGUUCCUCUUAUUUUGGGAGUCGACUACACUACUCAGGGAGUCUCUAGGGCCCUACCAUGGCCCAAGCCACCUCUAGAAUUCCACAGUUGUGAGGAGGCCCGGCCUCAGGAAGUCAGAUGGGUUCCUCCCUCCCACCCCUUCCCUCCCGGCUGCGGUACCUGGCAGAGGCCACCCCGUGACCCGAAGGGUAAGGGGGAGUUGCCGGAGCGCUCGGCACCGCUAUGUAACCAGAAACCUGUUUCCUUGAGUGAAGGAAGGGGAAAGGAGUCCUGGGUCUCCUCCCUUUCCUGGCAGGCAUGUGAGUGGAAAGAGGCAGUUUUAGAAAGAUGAUCUGGGGCUGAGCUGCUUCUCGGGCCCUUUCUGCCGCUCUCUGAGCAGCCCAGGGCCUGGAGCACAAAUCUGUCCGACGGCCCCCAUGCCAGCCAGGGGAAUGACAGCAGCCAGGAACUCCGCUCCAGGGGUACUCACUUCCAGGCCAGCUGUUCCUGCAACCGCCCCGUGGUGUCCUGUGCGCGCCACCACUCCACUCUUUAUGACAGCCUGGUCCCCACCUUCCUUUGCCCUUCAACAAAUCCGUGAGUGCACACGUGUGCAUAUCGACAUGCAUGUGGAUCUGCUCAGUAAGAAGGGAUUUGGUUCCUGAAAGUGGGCUAGGAGGCAACAGCCUUUCUACUGAAGUCAGUUUGGUGUCCACAAACUGACAAAUCCUAUCCCUGCCUUUGCCUUUCCUGCGCAAGGAAAGACAUCUAUGACAUUAGGCAAAAGAGAGAGAGACAUGUAACUCAGAAGGACACGGAAUGAAUAGCUAGACAGUAACCUGUUCACUCUUGGUUUCAAAUAUAUCACCCACCUCCUUUGGACCCUACAUGAAUCUCACACUAGUGGUGUAUGAUGUUGUUCUUGUCCCCACUGAAGACAUCCAGAGCUCUUGUAAUGGGGCAGCCCUUGCAUAGGAUCAGGAAACCCCAGCUGACAGCCAAGGAUACAGUGACAGUUAUGAGGACGUCCAGGCUGGACCCCAGGAAAAAUACAGCAAUGUCAAGCACCCAUUUUCAGCAGGACCCGCUGUCCCCAGCCUCACAAGAGGGCCACAACUCAGAAUUCCUGCAUCCCAGCAGUGGUGGGGACAGGGACUAGCAGGCCCUGAAUCCCUGCCUCACAUCCACAUCUGGCCAGGAGGGGGAGCACGAGCACCCGUUUCAUUCACCCCCUUUCAGUCAGGGCAAUGCUCCAAACGGGCCUCCAACAACGGGAUUCUGAAAGCUGGACAAAGGAGCUUCAUGUUUCUCUUCUCUACCUCCACAACCCACAAGGUUGUCUGAUGAGACUGUACCUGUCUUGCGGGGGGGGGGGGGCCCUCCCCUCUUGAAACACUAAAAGCAGUUUCUUUGCGAGGGACUGCCACCAAGAUGCCCUCUCCUUAGGGCAGCCCGCUUCUAAGUGAUCUGCACUCAAACGUCAGUUUCUGAGGAGCCCAGCCACUGCCACAGGCACCUGGUGUGCGCGUUAUUUCCUAUUUAUCACAGCGACCACGUUACACGGACACCAUCCUCUCCCCACCUGAAAGUGAGGUCCAGAAAGGUUCUUGGACUCACUCAUGGGGCCGAGGGAAGACACCUUCACUUGAAGGCCACAGGCUGUAAGCUUGAGAGAGGAAUGUAUGCCGAGUUAAGAGCACUCAGAGAAAUGGGCUGUCUGGCUGCGGGACUCUAGGGCCCUGCUGCUGGGCCUCCUCCAGCUGACCUCCUCCUUCCUCCUUCCUCCGAGUCCUCAGAGCAGAGGGCUUUUCCUGGGCGGCCAUGCUUCAGGUGACGGGCUUGCAGGCCAGAAGCUGCCAAGGCAAGACUAAGCCUCUACAGUCACUUCACUUAUUAUUCUUACGGCCUGUUGGGAGCAAGAUAACCUCCUUUUUCUUUUGUGGCUUCUGAGAAGAUGACACAUGGAAAUUCUGACAGAAGUUUCCCCAAAUCCUCCAGUUGACUGAGACCACAUGGAACAUCUAUUGUUUUUUGUUUCUGUUUUUCUCAGGCUCCUUUUCUCCAUCUUUCCUUCCCACAUCAAAUACUGUUUCGAGAAUAAAGGGGUAGAGCUAGAACAAGCCUGCAGGAGUUCACAUGCAGCCCGCUCCAAGAGCGGCUAGGGAAUAAUUACUGGCAUGCACUGGAGGGGAGCCAGGCAUCCUUCCGGGGACCCCA
Molecule: long non-coding RNA, 3755 nt
Organism: Mustela lutreola (European mink)
Lineage: Eukaryota; Metazoa; Chordata; Mammalia; Carnivora; Mustelidae
Exons: 3
Source: RefSeq, a predicted model, not a curated record